GUGAAUCAUCAAAUCUUUGAACGCAUAUUGCACUCUCUGGUAUUCCGGAGAGCAUGCCUGUUUGAGGGUCAGUAAAAAGAACCUUUCACCAAUUUUUUUGGUCAAAGGCAAUGAGUUCUCCGCGUUUAUAGCUGUAGCUUGAAAUAAAUUGUAAAGUCUUAUUUUAGUCGAGACGCGUAAUAAUAUUAUUUCGUGAAUUCUUCAUUAUGGGACUUUCGUGUUUUGAUGCAUACAAAUUUGGUUUGUAUGCGAUCAAUACAUAUUUUU
Molecule: unclassified non-coding RNA, 267 nt
Filed under: Ambisporaceae sp.
Lineage: Eukaryota; Fungi; Glomeromycota; Glomeromycetes; Archaeosporales; Ambisporaceae
Description: partial contains 5.8S ribosomal RNA and internal transcribed spacer 2
Rfam family: 5.8S ribosomal RNA (bases 1-71)
Source: RNAcentral